This 392-nucleotide ribosomal RNA is filed under the name uncultured archaeon. RNAcentral's name for it is "bacterial SSU rRNA". It matches the Rfam family "Archaeal small subunit ribosomal RNA", at positions 27 to 424 of the family's 1478-position model. The record is from RNAcentral.
ACUUGCUAUCAGAGUGGGACUAAGCCAUGCGAGUCAACGCCGAAAGGCGUGGCAUACGGCUCAGUAACACGUAGUCAACAUGCCCAAAGGACGUGGAUAACCUCGGGAAACUGAGGAUAAACCGCGAUAGGCCAAGGUUUCUGGAAUGAGCCAUGGCCGAAAUCUACAUGGCCUUUGGAUUGGACUGCGGCCGAUCAGGCUGUUGGUGAGGUAAUGGCCCACCAAACCUGUAACCGGUACAGGCUUUGAGAGAAGGAGCCCGGAGAUGGGCACUGAGACAAGGGCCCAGGCCCUAUGGGGCGCAGCAGGCGCGAAACCUCUGCAAUAGGCGAAAGCCUGACAGGGUUAUCUGGAGUGAUGCCCGCUAAAGGGUUCUUUUGGCACCUCUAAAA